RNAcentral lists this ribosomal RNA (730 nucleotides) under uncultured bacterium. RNAcentral's name for it is "bacterial SSU rRNA". It matches the Rfam family "Bacterial small subunit ribosomal RNA", at positions 771 to 1501 of the family's 1533-position model. The record is from RNAcentral.
AACAGGAUUAGAUACCCUGGUAGUCCACGCCGUAAACGAUGUCGACUUGGAGGUUGUGCCCUUGAGGCGUGGCUUCCGGAGCUAACGCGUUAAGUCGACCGCCUGGGGAGUGCGGCCGCAAGGUUAAAACUCAAAUGAAUUGACGGGGGCCCGCACAAGCGGUGGAGCAUGUGGUUUAAUUCGAUGCAACGCGAAGAACCUUACCUACUCUUGACAUCCAGAGAACUUAGCAGAGAUGCUUUAGUGCCUUCGGGAACUCUGAGACAGGUGCUGCAUGGCUGUCGUCAGCUCGUGUUGUGAAAUGUUGGGUUAAGUCCCGCAACGAGCGCAACCCUUAUCCUUUGUUGCCAGCGGUUCGGCCGGGAACUCAAAGGAGACUGCCAGUGAUAAACUGGAGGAAGGUGGGGAUGACGUCAAGUCAUCAUGGCCCUUACGAGUAGGGCUACACACGUGCUACAAUGGCAUAUACAAAGAGAAGCGACCUCGCGAGAGCAAGCGGACCUCAUAAAGUAUGUCGUAGUCCGGAUUGGAGUCUGCAACUCGACUCCAUGAAGUCGGAAUCGCUAGUAAUCGUGGAUCAGAAUGCCACGGUGAAUACGUUCCCGGGCCUUGUACACACCGCCCGUCACACCAUGGGAGUGGGUUGCAAAAGAAGUAGGUAGCUUAACCUUCGGGAGGGCGCUUACCACUUUGUGAUUCAUGACUGGGGUGAAGUCGUAACAAGGUAACC